CAGGAUGAACGCUAGCGGGAGGCCUAACACAUGCAAGCCGAGCGGUAGAGAUUCUUCGGAAUCUUGAGAGCGGCGUACGGGUGCGGAACACGUGUGCAACCUACCUUUAUCAGGGGGAUAGCCUUUCGAAAGGAAGAUUAAUACCCCAUAAUAUAUUGAAUGGCAUCAUUUAAUAUUGAAAACUCCGGUGGAUAGAGAUGGGCACGCGCAAGAUUAGAUAGUUGGUAGGGUAACGGCCUACCAAGUCAAUGAUCUUUAGGGGGCCUGAGAGGGUGAUCCCCCACACUGGUACUGAGACACGGACCAGACUCCUACGGGAGGCAGCAGUGAGGAAUAUUGGACAAUGGGUGAGAGCCUGAUCCAGCCAUCCCGCGUGAAGGACGACGGCCCUAUGGGUUGUAAACUUCUUUUGUAUAGGGAUAAACCUACUCUCGUGAGAGUAGCUGAAGGUACUAUACGAAUAAGCACCGGCUAACUCCGUGCCAGCAGCCGCGGUAAUACGGAGGGUGCAAGCGUUAUCCGGAUUUAUUGGGUUUAAAGGGUCCGUAGGCGGAUCUGUAAGUCAGUGGUGAAAUCUCAUAGCUUAACUAUGAAACUGCCAUUGAUACUGCAGGUCUUGAGUAAAGUAGAAGUGGCUGGAAUAAGUAGUGUAGCGGUGAAAUGCAUAGAUAUUACUUAGAACACCAAUUGCGAAGGCAGG
RNAcentral lists this ribosomal RNA (700 nucleotides) under Chryseobacterium balustinum. Its description in RNAcentral is "bacterial SSU rRNA". It matches the Rfam family "Bacterial small subunit ribosomal RNA", at positions 25 to 725 of the family's 1533-position model. The record is from RNAcentral. Lineage: Bacteria; Pseudomonadati; Bacteroidota; Flavobacteriia; Flavobacteriales; Weeksellaceae.